Long non-coding RNA from Calidris pugnax (ruff), 12014 nucleotides. RefSeq lists it as uncharacterized. The record is from RefSeq and is a predicted model, not a curated record. NCBI's taxonomy places the organism in Eukaryota, Metazoa, Chordata, Aves, Charadriiformes, Scolopacidae. The transcript is spliced from 28 exons.
UCUUCAACUAACGAAGGAAUACCUCAAGCGUCCAAGUUGGUUCAGCAAAAAAAAGAGCCAUCAGAUCUACCCCUCCGGUGCAGCAUCAGCAAGACCAAACAGAAGCAGAAAGUGCUUCGUGUGCUCUUCUUUGCACUAGUCCUGUGAAGUGUGCAAAUAUUCAUACAGUUGAAUAUUUGCCAGUCCAGAACAUUUACCAGCGGACUCCGUUUUGAUAGCACAGUACCUGUGGGUGUGGCCAGUGGACUUACCCUGAACCUGAUACAAAUGCACUGAAAUCAGUGAGAGCUUCGUAGCAGGUUUGUGCAGGCUUUGGAUGGAGCCCCUUCCCUGCCUCAUGUGGUGAAGCCAUGAAACUUGGCACGUUUAUAGCAUUGUAACAUAAAGCCAUCUGUGUACGAGUACAAACUUUUCCUUAUUGCCAAAGUGCUUAAUGUAAUUACAAUCAGGCUCGCUUCUCCUCUGCUCCUCUCCUCCCUGUGCUGGGACGGAUGAAAACUUGCCCUGGUAAAUAAUCCCCCAGCAUCUUGAGCUUGUGCGCCGGGUACAGCAGGGUAAGAUGCUAACCUCGUAAAUCUGAGGCACUUUUACAUUUUAGGGAACACACAGAAAGUUACAGACCAUCUUACAGGGAAACUGGUAUCAGAAAUAUGCCAAAAAGUCCAGCCUGGGUUCUUUUCUUGGAAACUACUCCAGACCCCUGACUUGGGAGCUCAGUCGCCUUCCCUUCCCCGAAUAGUCGAUGAAGAGUCAGAGGUGUCCCAGAGCUUGGAUACCUGAGAUGGAAACUCCCUUCUGGAGGUGGCUUUUCCUCUUUGCUGCCUAAAAAGUGAACACAAUGCUCCUCUUUACCUUGUUCACCACCUAAAGAAGGUUAUGUUAAUCCUGAGCAUCGGUUCCCCAGGCUGUCCCUGUCCAUAAGCAGCUGCAAAGUGCUGGUUUUAUUUUAUGAUUCACUCUUUCUGUUGACUUCAACUGUUUCCAAAUAUGAUGUUACCCCAUGGCAUUGGGUCAUUUAGGUGCGGUACUGAGGGAUAUGGUAUAGGGGAGGACUUUGUAGAGUAGGGUCAAUGGUUGGACUCGACGAUCCCAAGGGUCUCUUCCAACCUAGAUGAUUCUAUGAUGCUAUGAUUGAUUGUAUUUCCUGUAUCGUGGUACUUGCAUGCAGUUUCUUUAAUACAAAAUAUAAUAUUGGUCAGUCUGAGCUAAAUACCAAGGUUGCUUAUAGGUUAAUGAAUGCACUGUGCUUGCUGCUGACUGAUGUAAUUACUGAUAGGUGGGACACUCAACUUGACCCUACAGCCCAUAGACACGUACUUGACUUUAUCAGUGGGGAUGGUGUAUUUGAAAGGAAUAUUAACAUUGAAAAGAAAACUCACGCAGUGGAUGCAUUUGCAGGAGCAGGGAAUAAGUUUUCAGGGAAAAAAAUAGCUGAAGGCAAAAGGUGGUAAUACCAGAAAAGUCUCUUCCUGAAGGAACAUAAUGAUAAGCUGCUUAAUUUUCGCCAGUUUUAGGAAGACAGUUUAAUUAAUCACCUAGAACGUAGGUGUGAAAUGAGUGCUAAAGUUAUGCAGAUUACCUCUACCCAAAGUCCUUUAUAAACUGUGCUGUUAUCAGUCUAGGAAGAACCUUUCCUCCUCAAUAAACUUCAGAAUGGUUUAAUCAUCUAUAGUGACAUAGAUACAUUGGCCCAGGCCAGAUUUAUUUUGAGAUAUUAUCAGAAAUGGGUAGAUACAGAUGCUUAUAAAGCACCUACACUUUGUAGAUGCCAAAAAACCUGUUUCUGUACAUCCAGAAAGCUCCAACAGGCUGUGUAGAUACAUGCUUGUGGUUAAAAAUGUACUAUGGUCUAUGGACACUCUGUGUCCAUUUCAAAUACAGCAGGGAUUUUAAGAGGGGCACAAGUUUUUGGUUUUAAUUGUUGUAACUAGUCAAAAAGUUUCUUAGCGUGUCAUCAACUAAUCUGCUUCAGGGAAGAAGAUGGGCCUGGUCCUCUGUGGUCCACCUGAUCACAGGGGGCUGAGCUUGUAGGAUCACCUUAUGAAGCAUGGUGAUUGAGGGAAGGUUUGUGUUGGGAUCUAUAGUCUGCUGACAACACUUUCCUAAUUUUGUGAUGCCAAGGAAAAGGACUUCUGAACCAUGCUGCAAGCGUUAAGAGGCAAAUAAGUCUUUUUAUUUGAAGGUUUCUAUGGAAGGUUGUCACACAGGCUACAAAUCAGAAGCUUAAGUGCUCGUGUUGCAUAAAGGUUGGAGUUACAAGGGUUUUGCCCAAAUUCCUGUCCCCUCUGCGAGUAGAGUUUCACUGACAUUUAGUGUCUGGUGGUUGCUGCUCAGAUCACCAGUUAACACAAUCCUAGGUCAGUAAGUUUGAAAGGAGGUAAAACAUCUUGGAGAGACCAUAUGAAAUCCAUCAUGGCAAACCACUGAUAACUCCACAUCUUAUUAGCUUCAAUUAAGUAUUUCCAUGGGGAACUGUGGAACUGUUUAAAGUCAUGAUGACACAUACACACACUUUGUUCCAUCCAAAGAAAUAAUCUGUUUUCCAGAUUUCCAGAAAGCCAAGCUAUUUUGUUAUUGUUUUUUUUCUUUUCCUCCUUUUAAAAGAAAUAAUUUAUAAGAAUUUAUCUUGGGCUUGCUACAGAUUUAAAAGGAGAAAAAAGAUUUCUUCUGUCCGACUUUUAAAUUAUAUGCAUGACCAAAGAUAAAUAUGUUUUUUAUUUAUAACUGUGGAUAGAUGCCAAACAAAGCCUUUCAUAUGACGCACCGCUGCUGUAGUGGAGAAGUACUUAAAACAGUUCCAGUCAAGUUAGGCCCCAAGACUUUUCAUGCAACUUCAUGCAAAAUGGUUAAGACCUUUCAUUUAUUAUUUUUUUUUUUCCCCCCCUUUUCUUUUGAACAUCUUCAAAGAUUACAAGUGCAAGGCGCUUAAGAGGAUGCCAGGCUUCUUCCUGUCGAGCUGAGAUGGUCUGAAAACCACAUUGAAAGAUGGGAAACUGGAGCCCCCACGGAUUGCAGAUGAGGGGUUGGGGAUUUUUUUUUGGAGGCUGUAGAUCUCUCCUGGUCGGUAACCGUUGGGUAAAGGUUAUGGAUGGAGGCUGGCACAGCCAAGGAUUGGUGUGCUGUUGGGAGACUGGGAUGAAUGGGCUUUGACAAUACUGCUGAAUAGGGAUACUUGUGGAGCUAAUACAAACAAUUUGUAAUUGUCAGGGCUGAAAAGUAAAAACAUGAUUAUAAACUGUGCCUAGGAUCAGCUUAUGUCAGCUUUAAGUGAUUUAAAAGUCUGGUGUCUGGAGCUGCAUCUCACUUGCCUGUGAAACUCCUUAAAGAAGACUUACACAAGCGUACAAGCAUGUCUCUCCCUUCUUGGGUAUUUAUUGUGAAAAGUAACCCUUUGUCUGGCUGACAGGAGACGGGGUUUCAGGACAGAUGUGAAACAAAGCCUUGCAGAUAAAUCAGAAAAUACGUAUUUUCUCUAUUUCAAUGAAAUGAGACGAUUGCCUGGUAACGGCAACUCUUUUAGAAACUGCUGGUGGUCCUUGUUUUGUGCAAGGAGAGACUCUGAAUGGUAAGGUGCCCGUGCACCGUGGUCACCUGGUGGCUUUGUGCCGUGCCAGGCUUGAAAACUGUUUCUGCCUGGAUGUGAAGGAAGUCUGUAAAGGAUGCAAACUUCGCCGAGAGAAGGGAAGGAGCACAAGAAAGCAUCCUCUGUUACCUGGAGCCUACCAUCAUUAUGCCUGACCCUGGCUCAUUAUCCCUUGGUAUCUGCAGCAGACGAUGACCUUUGAUGACACCGCACAACAGAAUGCAAAGGAGAUGCCUGCCUUUUAAUUUUGGCUCCAGAAUGCCAGAGGCGGUAGUAGCUUCUUCCCCACGCUGUGGCCAGACUUACUUGACUCAAACACGUGUAGGAAAAUUAAAAUGCUGCUAAAUAGUACUAAGCAACACUGUUUAGGGACCGGGUUACAUUGCUGAUUUUGCUAGGAGUGCCCCUGCCUUCCCGUCCCCCCCCAAAGAGUCUGGAGCAGGCUGGAAGCAACUAAUCUACCAUGUAAUGAGAUAGGUUCCUGUUGACACAAGUCAAGGGCAAAACUAUUAAGUCAUUAGGGCUAAUGUUGUAACAUUCUGAUACAAAGGCAUGGCCUGGGCCUUUCAGAUGUACCUCUGACCUUUAAGGAUUAAGUUUCUUCGCAGCUUAUUUUUGCUGCUCAAAAAUCUGUCUUUUUUUUUUCUUUUUUUUUUUUUUUUUCCCCUUCUGCUUCACACGCGCUGAUCUCUGGCCCUCUGCAGGGUACAGCUCGCAGCUUCUGCACUCCAGGUUUGUCCCACUUUUAUCAGAGGAGCUAAGGACAAAGAAGACAUCCUUUUCUUAAUCCCACAGCACUAAGGGUACGGCACGUGUUCCCCUGCUCAGCACUGCCCCUGUGGGAGCUUGGCCCAAGGGGCUGCUGGUAGAAGGGAGUCGGGGAAAUAGAGGUGGCUCGUAGGCUUCUCCCACAAAGUAGAGACAGUGAGGAUUCCUUAAACCAAUCUAGAUGUAAUUUAAAUACGUAUAAUGGAAAUGUGUCUCGCUCUGUCCCUGUGAUAAUUUGGUAGAGUAACUUUUCUGAAAUCUAAUGGGUUUUGCCAAUAACCAGAUGGUUAUUUCAAGCAUUGUAUCCUCCAGCACAGCAGAAGGUCUGCACUUGCUUCAUUUCCAUUGCCUGGGCAAGAGAAGUGCAAUGGGGCUCCAAAACUUGUCUUGCUGCAAUACCUACUGUCUCUCAGGACUGGUUUGUUUAACAUCAACUUUGUAGACUUGUUUGACUCGUGAAGUUUUUGACCUAAUGCUUUUCUUUUUCCGAGUCACUCUCUGAAAUAAGGAACCAAGCAGUGUUCUCACUCGGACCUGUGCUAGGUUGUGUCUCCAUUUACCAUCACGCUGAAAGCCUACGGAAGAGCGUAAGAAAGUGUCCUCUUCUCCAGGUGAAAUCAGCCUUACCCACAGCAUUCAGUGACUUUAAAUGCGACGGUGAUGGGGAAAGGAAAGUCGCAGUAAAAAGGAUUCUGCUCUGAAGACUGUACAUGCCAAGACCUUCAGGAUGGUUUUCACCUUCUCCUGCUGGAAGAGAUGCUGAUAUUCACGACCACACCAGUGGAAACGAGGUGCUUCUCAAAAUUAACAGCCCGUGCUUUGCUACUUACACCUCGCCGUGGUUCUCCCCCGCCAUCCCCGAGAAGAGGGUCAUGGGCUACCUUGGGAGCUGUUGGAAGCAGCAGAGGCACAACUCUUUCCCUGAGGUGCUCCUAGACACCCUGCAACUAUAUUCAACCCUUCAGUACAGGUUUGCCCCAAAGGUACAGGCUGCUCUAAGCAAGAAGUCAAGCGCUGCUCUGGAAAACAGACUUGUCUUCAUGCGGUUCCUCAUCGGAAGAUACAAGCUGUCACGAUCCCUUGCCAAUCACACGAGAACUGACCUAGGGAGAACAGCAGCUGAAGGUUAUAAGUUCCUGUUGCAUUUUUGAAGACAAUAAUACACUGGAUUUUAUGAUUCCUCUAUUUAAAACAAGACAAGAGUUUCCUAUAUUUUGAAGAGAAAUAAGAGCACCUGAAAAAAAGGGCUUGCUCCAUUGCUGUCUAUAUCCAGCCUGGCUUUCUGUGAGCUGCACGGGGAAGAAAUAUUUCCAAGACACCAGUGGUUGCCAUAUCCUGACAAGGGAUACCUGAUGCCCCUCUUCCUGCCUGUCAGAUCUAAAUGUCAGCCCUCGCUCAGUCCAUGAUUUGGAGGAAAAGCCAGAAAGGAGGAACCCUAAACCACCUGCAUAAACCCACCUGACAGUAGUGGGAGCCUAAAGAGGCAAAGAGCAAGAAGGAGUCGAGGUUUUCUGUCCAGGUACCAAUAAGGUUGUCUCCUGACUGGAAAAUGAAAAGUGGAAGAGUCCCACGGCCUUUCUGCCCCUUACACUGAAGGGAAAACAAACCGCCUGGUCAUAGGACAGAUGUUGGCUUGGGUCACCAUCAAGAUCCUGACCUGCCUAACUGAUGUGACACAGGGAAGGAGGUACCUCGAUGCUCAUCAAGAGCAGAACCUCAUUACUGCAGCCUGGAGAAGCUGGAGAGGUCUCCAAAGGCUUUCUAGAGGGGUCACUCUGCAGCACCAGCACCGUUACUUGUGUCAGCCUCAGGCAAGACCCUUCCUCUUGGAGAGACUUUCCAACCCUCUGACCUGCCAUCAGCUCCUCACCUGGCACCACACACCGAAGCUGCAGAUACUUCAGCGUGUGGUGAGGUGCAGAAAUCAGAUGCAAAUGCUCCUGGAGCCGUGGGGCCAGCGUUACUGCUCCUGCUUUGACAAUGCCAGCUGAUCGUAUGCUUUGGGAAUGAGGCACCCGGAGCGGUAUUGGAAAGCGUCAGUCUCCUGCCAGAAGGUUCUGAAGUGGCAUUUUCUGCAGCCUUGAUGACUCUCUUCCAGUCUUUUAUUUCAUUGAGAAGAGCCCAAAGUAUAAUAUUCUUUCAGGAAGCAUAAAUCGUAUUGCUGGAAGUAAUAGCAAUCUCCCAAGCAGAAUCCCCCGGGGACUCGCGCCGCUCCGCUUUCCAAAAAGCUGCCUUCAAGUACAUCCCAUGGUGCCUCCUUCCCAGCAGGAAUCCCCAGUGCUGCACUGGUGGCCGUGCCUGAGGAGCUGUAGAUGAUGCCCAAGCAACUGGAGCUUUUCACCCUAGGGUUUUCCCAGCGUUUUGGACCAUCCUGGGACUUGGGAGAAGCUGCCAAGACUCUUGUCCAACCACCCCGAUUUCGGUGCUUCUUCUUGACUGUCGGUACGCGCGUGAGACAAUAGCCGAAAGGAAGUGGAAUUGAAGGGGCUUCUUGAAAAACAGCAACUUCUGACAAAAUAAACCAAGACAAAGAUCCAUUCAAGAUGAAGUUAUCAAACCGUGCGAAACCAAUACAGCAACGUUUCCAAGCUGUGGCUAAGGUUUGGUUUUUUGGUCACAAAAAAAAAAAAGGAACAUGGAAACUAUUUAUUAUCAAGAAAAAUCAAGAUUUGAACAUGAAAAAAUAUGGAUCGUGUAUGCAGAGGCUCACGUCAGCCAUUGGAUAUAGAUGAACAUGGCUCUCGGUUCCUCCUGGGAGUGGUGACAGGACUUCAAAAAAAACCCUGCACCAUGGCCUGAUUUUCAGAGGUCUCCAGCAUCCCCCCAGUUCCUGUUGACUUGUAAGCGACGUGCAGCUUGAGGUUUUGCUUGUUCCUCAGCUGAAUCUUUCAAAACUCGUGAUGUCUCAGCAUGAGUCAGUGUUUUAUGUAACCCCAGCUUGCAUUCCUCCAAACCCCUCCUGAGCUCGGAGCGCUCCAACAGCCAACCUCAAAUUCUUCAUCCUCGCAGCUGACAACUGUGGUCCUCCGGCAGCGGCACGACAAGUUCCUCACGCUGCUCCUGGGGGUGGGUUUGGGGCCCCAGCGUGGCUCUCCGAGUGCAGGGACUGAGGCUGGAGGAAAGCUGGGCUGGAGGAGGAAGCUCCACUCCACAACGGGCAAGAUGUUGGGCUUUCCUGCAUCAGAAGUGCCCACUGCCAGUUCUGUCCAGCUGUUCGGUGGUUUUUUUUCUCUUCCUUUCUCUUUCCUUUUGUCUUCCUUCCUUCCUCUUCCUUUUUUCUCCUCCAGCAUCAGAGUUAUCCAUGCCUCUACCAGAAAAAACCAAACAUUUUCCCAUAAAAGUGGUAGGAAGGGAGGACACCGCUGUGGUGGAUCCCACUGGCUGUUGGUCCCUCUGUAGGCACCUUGGAUGGCAUCUUCAGUUCCCACUCCUGGCACCCUACUUCACCCUGAAGCACCUCAACAAGCUCAAGAGGGGACCUCCUCGUUGGUGGGACAGACCCUUCUCAGCCUCUCGGGGUCAGCACAGCUGAUAAAGCAGGAAAUGUUUAUGAUAUUUAGAGAAACCAUGCAGGAAUGUGAAGAUGAAGACAGGGAGAAUGUGUGCCAGUCUGCUCCACUAACCUACUCGGAUGCACUGUGGUAGCAGCAAAAUAACCUGCCAUCUGAUGCUCUGGAUGCUGUGACCCUCUGCUGGCACCGUGCAGACCUCAGACCUCAAAAGCAAUCCCCUCGGACAUGGUUAUAUAUAUUUCACUGUAAGUGAAAGAGAAGAAAACAAAUAAAAACACAACGAGGCUCUUUCUCCACGUUGGUACUUUCUUCAGACUUUCUACCGAGGAUUUCCAAGUGCAUUUGUCAUCGUACGGUAAGGGCUCUGAAUGAAUUUAUUGAUGGUAGCUGGAAAAAAAAAAGGGAAAAAAAUGAAUGAAAUCCCUCGAGGCAGAAGGUAUGUCAUGAACUUCCCCAAGUUAUUUGCAAAUGUUUCUGCCAGUAUCAAUAAAUCCCUCAAAUUUCAAGAUAGGCUACAUUAAUUACAGGAUGGCAUGAUGUAUUUAAAGGUUGCUGAAAGUUCUAUCUGCGAUCAGUCGUGUUCGAACUGCAGGUUGAUGGGAAAUAUUUGUUAUUUUAAUACGUAGGCACGCACGCGAGCAGCAAGAGCCUCCAUGAUGUUUUAAUAGGCUUUUAUUAGUUCGUACUCUCCUUGUAAUCUUGUUUUACAGUAUGUGCGCUCAAUGUGUUUGUGUCUAUGCUCUUCAUGCACACGUCGCAGGAUGCCAAAACAGCCUUCUGCUUCCUUGUUUCCAACCACUUAGUCAGGCACUUGAACGCUUUCCAAAUCUUGUUAAAAACCAGAAAUAGCGCUAUCACUUCUUGCCGGAGAGCGCAGAAGAGGUGGAGAUGGUGGUGGACGGAGAGGGCAGGGGAAAAGUGAGGAGGAGGAGGAGGAGGAGGCAGCUGGACGGUGGGGGGAUCUUCAUGGGUGAGCUCAGAAAAGCCUCCGUGCCACCACCGCCCAGACCUCAUCUGGGGCUUCCCCGCUGUCUUGCUGUGGAAAGCGGGGGGUUUGGUUCACUCGCUGGAUGGAAAACGCACUGCAAAGAUGCUCCUUGUACAUCACCUCCCGUUUAAAAACUCUAGGCACCCAGAGUUCCCUGGCCAAAAAUCACAGGGUGUUUGUUUAAUGAUUUAUUUUUAUUUAUAUGUAUAUGUAAUUAUUAUUAUUAUUUAUUAUAUACAUAUAAAAUCUUAGUUAUAUUUAAAUUUUACACUUUUUUCCCCAGGAAAAUUGGAAGUAACAUGCAAAUAGGAGUGGGGUUUUUUUCUGAGCAAAAUAGAUUUAAAAAUCAACUUUAUUUUAUUCACUAUUUUUUUCCAAAACUGAACUAAGCAGGCCAGCUCAAUCUAGAUUCAAUAAAUGCUUCAGAAGUUCAUUUCUGGUGAAUUAAAAAUUGCUCCUGAGACUUCAAAGUGUUCCAGCCAGGUGAGGUCUUGCUGGGGAACAGUGGGAUCAUGUAAUACGGGUGAUCCUGGUUUCUCCAGAACAUGUGCUCACUGCUUGUACCUCUUUUUUCUGCUUAGACUAGAUGUUUUCUGGUGUGUAUCUCUUAGGCAAGGAAGCAUCAAUUUUGGCUGGUGCUUGGAAGCUGUAUUAAUUAACUGGACACGCAACUGGAGGCAGCAGCAGAGAGUGUUUUCCUUUGGAUUGCUCUUGCAGAUGUGGAUUCUCUGAUGUCUACAGGUGGUUGAGUUCUUCCCAUUGGUUGGGGGAGUCAAUGGUGGUUGCCUUGGUUCCCUGUCUCCGUGAGGUGGGAACAUCUGGCCGGUUUGACUGCAGCCACCCAAUGGCUUUAAAAGCAAACACUGACGCAGGCGUGUGCCCACGCACCCGUACAUCCACGCAGAACGUGAUGAGGAGCCAGUCCCUAUAGCCUUAAAGAAACCCAGAUAAAAAUAAUGUUGCCAUAAGAAGCUGAUGUUAUGCAUGAGUAAGAUGACUGCGAGGCUCCCACUGCCUACUGAGAGGCACUGGGGUGUCACAUUCCAUUAAGGAACUUGCCGAGGAGUCGUGACACAGCCGUUGCUGACUGUCUACGCUACAGCCCGCCUUUGUUCGUGGUCAGCAAAAAAGCUGGUCAAAUAACAUUGAUCAGAUUGUUUACUUGGCAUGUCCCCCACAACCUGAAUAACUCCUUUUUGCAGGGUUAUUUUCACCCAGGUGACAUGCUAGAUGCAGCGCUAACUAAUAUAAUUAUCAAAAUCUGAUGGUCUCAAAAGAAAGUUUGAAGUCAAGUGUUGGGUUUCUCAGUGGAGCAGCGUUUGUGGCCCCAACCAGCCAUGUACUGAGGAGCAGAUGGCCGUGUUCUGAGACUUCUUCGUCUUCUUCUCAUAGUAUCUCCUUGCAGACACAGCCUCCAUGAAACAUCAUGGCAGGAAAGCAACGAACCUGCUUACCCCAAGGCUGGUGCACUCUUGGAAAGUGAAAUAUACAUGGGAUUUGGAGAGGGCUUUGUGAUUCUUGAAGAUCCCACCUCGUGAAGAUCGAUUUCAAACUUGGGCUGGAAGAGGCAUCAGAGCAAUGGAAAAAUGUUCUGAAUGAUGGUCACGUACCCACCUCAGAGCGACUGAAGAGCACAGAGAGAACAGCCCAUCCAGCAAUGUUCCCACCCACGUAUUUUCCCUGCUACAGUUACCAUCCUAAAUAACGCUAACCCAUCUCGCUGCUGCCGAUGGAGAGGCUUUACAGUGCUACGGAGAACUAUUUUGAAGCUCAGAAAUGAUGCAGUGAGCCACCACGUUUGGGGUGAGGAGGCCAGCAGACUGCUCCUGCCCCAGCACCUCCCUAACCCUAAAGCUUUGGCGCUGGCAGCCGGAAAAAGGCAGGUGGCAUCCCACACCUCUCACCCUUCUCCCUGUGACACCCGACACAAACAAAACCCACCAAAUUUUGGUGGCCACUGGGGCAGGACGGCCCCACCGGUGCUGGUCCGUGGUCCCUGCUCUCCCCGGUCCCAUCUCUGGCAGGGUCUUGCUAUUAAAAAUGAUCUCUCCAUCCCAGGGUGAGGGAGGUAGGGGGGGGAACUGGGGGGGCAGGGUCUCUUGAAGUGCCUGGACCCCACAAAGUUCAAAGGCACCCUCCCUGCUGCCCUGAGGAGGGAUGAAGAGCCGGCCGGAGGAUGGCUGGAGGCCACACAGACGGGAAGAAAUUUGGUGCAGACGAGACAUAUUUCAAAGGGGCCAGAGAAUGACUUGACUUCUCCGAGGUGAAGGCAGCAAAAGUGGCAACAACCUGGAAAAUAAAUAAAUGAAAUGCAACGUAUGUAGGGGUCACGAUAUAGCAUAAGUAUAUCAACAUGAUGAACAGCUUUGAUGAAAAUGGUGAAAUCCCUCCUAGCAGCUGGCUUAUGAAAUAAUGCGAGGGGAGGCCUUAAUGAGCUGAAAGCACCCUCAGCUGGAGAUAAAUAUAUGCAAAUGAGAUGCACAAACAAAGGAGCCCGGACAGAGAAAUAUCUGCAAUUCCAGCAAAAUGCUGCCUGCAGCUAGAAGAUGAACAGCUUUGAUAAAAUGUUCUGCGGCAGGGGGAGAAGCCAGGAAGGAAAGAAGUCGUUGCACCCAAGGAGCUUUCCCCUUCCCUUCGGCUGCAAAAAAACCUCACCCAGCUCUGUUAAUACAAAACUAAUGGGGAGAGUGUGAUCCGAAGAGCCAGGCUGCUAUCAGCUGAAUUGCGAUGGAAGCUUGCUCAAAAAAUAGGUACAAAGAAAAGAAUUUAGACAAAUUUGCCUCUUAACCUUUAAAGAUUUCCUGCCUAUUCCAGUAUGUCCUUUAUUACAUUAAUUUUUUAUUUAAAUUACACCAUUAACUGGAUAUGAAUUUAUCAAGAAUACAUAUAUUGAUUUAUAAAACAGUAUCAUUAAUUAUUAUAAUAGCUAGAUGUAGCUGAUAUUACAAAGCCAUUUAAAGGUUUUUAAUAUAACUUGGACAUACAUAGAUAGAUAGACAUUAUGGACAAGACUACAAUUUAAACUGGCUACCAGCAGUUAAUGAAAUCCUUGAUUUAUCUUCUCAUUUAGAGAUUGAUUAUAUUGUUGCUUUGUAAAACUAUUUAUUUUAUGCCAUUUUUCAAAGGAUGUCUCAAUAAAAGAAAAAAGAUAAAUAAAAUAUCC